Molecule: long non-coding RNA, 972 nt
Organism: Brassica napus (rape)
Lineage: Eukaryota; Viridiplantae; Streptophyta; Magnoliopsida; Brassicales; Brassicaceae
Exons: 2
Source: RefSeq, a predicted model, not a curated record
CUAGGGUUUAGAGCCUUGAUAUUUUAGGAGAGGUUUGGUGGGAUGACUCCCGUGGUAGGUUCACGUACUUUAGGUCGAUACAGUUUAUAUUUCUAACUUAAUGUUUUUUUUUUUUUUUUUUUGAACUUAGCUUUCAAAUUUAAAUGCAGAAAGAAAUGUAAAAGAUACAAGCCUAAGCCUUAGUAUUUUAGAGCCCAUCAAAGCCCAGCCAGAAAUUAAAAACACAACAUCAAAGAGACCCAACAGAGGCCCAAAGAGAAGAGGAAAGCGAGGAGUUGAUUUUGGAAAGUGAUACGAAGAUCACGAGGAAUGAAACGGUUGAGAGAGCUGAGCCGAUCAGAGAGAUGACUAUGUGAGCCAUGUCUGCAUUAGAGUUGAUGAUAGAGUCGAGUUCUGAUCACGAAGAGAAAGUAUCUUGUUCUUUAUCUGCCUAUCCAAGAGCCGAAAGAUCGAGUCUGGUGAGCGAAAGAUCUGGCGAUGGAUCCGGGCAUUCCUCUCUGUCCAGGAGUAUAACCACACCGCAAGGAGCAUACUUGCCAAAGAUGCCAUGCAAAUCUGCAAUCAAAGAAGAGAUGAUUCCGACACUCAGCAGCAGAAUUGCAGAGGACGCAAGCAGGGUCCGUUUGCAGUCCCCAUCCCAAGACGCGAUCUCUGGUCGGACAACGAUUCAAGACAAAUAACCAAGCAAGGAAGUUAUGUCGGGGAAUCCCGUACUUGUUCCACACGGAGUUAUACCAAGGCACCGUGAUUCCAGCCUCACAGAGCUUCCCAUAGACAAUACCAGUGCUAUAUCGUAAUUAAAAAUAUAUGUUAAUAUCAUAACAUGUCGGGUAAGAAAUAUAUGCAAUUAUAUUAUAGACUUACACAAUACAUAAUACUAAAAUAGAAAUUAUAUAUUUAAAACAUUUGUAAUAGUAUCAAAUACAUUUAUAAAAUAAAAAAAUAUCUGCAGGUACUUGCAGGUGUAACAUU